GACGAACGCUGGCGGCGUGCCUAACACAUGCAAGUCAGGGAGAAAAGGGUAGCAAUAUCCUGAGUAAACCGGCGAACGGGUGAGUAACACGUAGGCAACUUACCUUGAGAACGGGAAUAACCCCGGGAACCGGGGCUAAUACCCGAUGUUAUUCCGUUGUAGCAUUGCAAUGGAAUAAAAAGCCCGCAAGGGCGUCACAAGAUAGGCCUGCGUCCCAUUAGAUAGUUGGCGGGGUAACAGCCCACCAAGUCGACGAUGGGUAGCUGGUCUGAGAGGACGAUCAGCCACACUGGAACUGAGACACGGUCCAGACUUCUACGGAAGGCAGCAGUGAGGAAUAUUGCUCAAUGGGCGAAAGCCUGAAGCAGCGACGCCGCGUGAAGGAUGAAAUCCGUUAGGAUGUAAACUUCUUUGCGGGGGAAGAAUGUGCGCCUUGGGCGCAUUGACCGGUACCCCGUGAAUAAGCACCGGCCAACUACGUGCCAGCC
Molecule: ribosomal RNA, 488 nt
Filed under: uncultured bacterium
Lineage: Bacteria
Description: bacterial SSU rRNA
Rfam family: Bacterial small subunit ribosomal RNA
Source: RNAcentral